Molecule: ribosomal RNA, 566 nt
Filed under: uncultured bacterium
Lineage: Bacteria
Description: partial 16S ribosomal RNA
Rfam family: Bacterial small subunit ribosomal RNA
Source: RNAcentral
UGGGGAAUUUUGGACAAUGGGCGAAAGCCUGAUCCAGCAAUGCCGCGUGUGUGAAGAAGGCCUUCGGGUUGUAAAGCACUUUUGUCCGGAAAGAAAUCCUCUGGGUUAAUACCUCGGGGGGAUGACGGUACCAGAAGAAUAAGCACCGGCUAACUACGUGCCAGCAGCCGCGGUAAUACGUAGGGUGCAAGCGUUAAUCGGAAUUACUGGGCGUAAAGCGUGCGCAGGCGGUUUUGUAAGACGGAUGUGAAAUCCCCGGGCUUAACCUGGGAACUGCAUUCGUGACUGCAAGGCUAGAGUAUGGCAGAGGGGGGUAGAAUUCCACGUGUAGCAGUGAAAUGCGUAGAGAUGUGGAGGAAUACCGAUGGCGAAGGCAGCCCCCUGGGCCAAUACUGACGCUCAUGCACGAAAGCGUGGGGAGCAAACAGGAUUAGAUACCCUGGUAGUCCACGCCCUAAACGAUGUCAACUAGUUGUUGGGGAUUCAUUUCCUUAGUAACGUAGCUAACGCGUGAAGUUGACCGCCUGGGGAGUACGGUCGCAAGAUUAAAAGCUUAAAUGAAUUGA